GAUGAACGCUAGCUACAGGCUUAACACAUGCAAGUCGAGGGGCAGCAUGAACUUAGCUUGCUAAGUUUGAUGGCGACCGGCGCACGGGUGAGUAACACGUAUCCAACCUGCCGAUGACUCGGGGAUAGCCUUUCGAAAGAAAGAUUAAUACCCGAUGGCAUAGUUCUUCCGCAUGGUAGAACUAUUAAAGAAUUUCGGUCAUCGAUGGGGAUGCGUUCCAUUAGGUUGUUGGCGGGGUAACGGCCCACCAAGCCUUCGAUGGAUAGGGGUUCUGAGAGGAAGGUCCCCCACAUUGGAACUGAGGCACGGUCCAAACUCCUACGGGAGGCAGCAGUGAGGAAUAUUGGUCAAUGGACGAGAGUCUGAACCAGCCAAGUAGCGUGAAGGAUGACUGCCCUAGGGGUUGUAAACUUCUUUUAUACGGGAAUAAAGUGAGGCACGUGUGCCUUUUUGUAUGUACCGUAUGAAUAAGAAUCGGCUAACUCCGUG
Molecule: ribosomal RNA, 489 nt
Filed under: uncultured bacterium
Lineage: Bacteria
Description: partial 16S ribosomal RNA
Rfam family: Bacterial small subunit ribosomal RNA
Source: RNAcentral